RNAcentral lists this ribosomal RNA (444 nucleotides) under uncultured bacterium. RNAcentral describes it as "bacterial SSU rRNA". It matches the Rfam family "Bacterial small subunit ribosomal RNA", at positions 331 to 792 of the family's 1533-position model. The record is from RNAcentral.
CCAGACUCCUACGGGAGGCAGCAGUGGGGAAUAUUGCACAAUGGGGGAAACCCUGAUGCAGCAACGCCGCGUGAGUGAAGAAGUAUUUCGGUAUGUAAAGCUCUAUCAGCAGGGAAGAAAAUGACGGUACCUGAGUAAGAAGCCCCGGCUAACUACGUGCCAGCAGCCGCGGUAAUACGUAGGGGGCAAGCGUUAUCCGGAUUUACUGGGUGUAAAGGGAGCGUAGACGGUGAUGCAAGUCUGAAGUGAAAGCCCGGGGCUCAACCCCGGGACUGCUUUGGAAACUGUGGUGCUGGAGUGCAGGAGAGGCAAGCGGAAUUUCUAGUGUAGCGGUGAAAUGCGUAGAUAUUAGGAAGAACACCAGUGGCGAAGGCGGCUUGCUGGACAGUAACUGACGUUGAGGCUCGAAAGCGUGGGGAGCAAACAGGAUUAGAUACCCUCGUA